CGCUUACCGCUUUGUGAUUCAUGACUGGGGUGAAGUCGUAACAAGGUAACCGUAGGGGAACCUGCGGUUGGAUCACCUCCUUACCUUAAAGAAGC
RNAcentral lists this ribosomal RNA (95 nucleotides) under Escherichia coli. RNAcentral's name for it is "partial 16S ribosomal RNA". The stretch from base 1 to 83 matches the Rfam family "Bacterial small subunit ribosomal RNA", at positions 1451 to 1533 of the family's 1533-position model. Lineage: Bacteria; Pseudomonadati; Pseudomonadota; Gammaproteobacteria; Enterobacterales; Enterobacteriaceae. The record is from RNAcentral.